GAGUAACACGUGGGUAACCUACCCAUCAGAGGGGGAUAACACUUGGAAACAGGUGCUAAUACCGCAUAACAGUUUAUGCCGCAUGGCAUAAGAGUGAAAGGCGCUUUCGGGUGUCGCUGAUGGAUGGACCCGCGGUGCAUUAGCUAGUUGGUGAGGUAACGGCUCACCAAGGCCACGAUGCAUAGCCGACCUGAGAGGGUGAUCGGCCACACUGGGACUGAGACACGGCCCAGACUCCUACGGGAGGCAGCAGUAGGGAAUCUUCGGCAAUGGACGAAAGUCUGACCGAGCAACGCCGCGUGAGUGAAGAAGGUUUUCGGAUCGUAAAACUCUGUUGUUAGAGAAGAACAAGGACGUUAGUAACUGAACGUCCCCUGACGGUAUCUAACCAGAAAGCCACGGCUAACUACGUGCCAGCAGCCGCGGUAAUACGUAGGUGGCAAGCGUUGUCCGGAUUUAUUGGGCGUAAAGCGAGCGCAGGCGGUUUCUUAAGUCUGAUGUGAAAGCCCCCGGCUCAACCGGGGAGGGUCAUUGGAAACUGGGAGACUUGAGUGCAGAAGAGGAGAGUGGAAUUCCAUG
This 579-nucleotide ribosomal RNA is filed under the name Enterococcus faecalis ERV73. RNAcentral's name for it is "bacterial SSU rRNA". It matches the Rfam family "Bacterial small subunit ribosomal RNA", at positions 108 to 673 of the family's 1533-position model. Lineage: Bacteria; Bacillati; Bacillota; Bacilli; Lactobacillales; Enterococcaceae. The record is from RNAcentral.